This 445-nucleotide ribosomal RNA is filed under the name uncultured bacterium. RNAcentral's name for it is "partial 16S ribosomal RNA". It matches the Rfam family "Bacterial small subunit ribosomal RNA", at positions 354 to 796 of the family's 1533-position model. The record is from RNAcentral.
GUGAGGAAUAUUGGUCAAUGGACGGAAGUCUGAACCAGCCAAGUAGCGUGCAGGAAGACGGCCCUAUGGGUUGUAAACUGCUUUUAUACGGGGGUAAAGUGUGCCACGUGUGGCAUAUUGCAAGUACCGUAAGAAAAAGGAUCGGCUAAUUCCGUGCCAGCAGCCGCGGUAAUACGGAAGAUCCGAGCGUUAUCCGGAUUUAUUGGGUUUAAAGGGAGCGUAGGCGGAAGUUCAAGUCAGCUGUGAAAGUUUGUGGCUUAACCAUUGAAUUGCAGGUUAAAAUGAAUUUCUUGAGUGUACAUAAGGGUGGUGGAAUUUGGUGUGUAGCGGUGAAAUGCAUAGAUAUCACGAAGAACUCCGAUUGCGAAGGCAGCCAUCCGGGGUACAACUGACGCUGAGGCUCGAAAGUGCGGGAAUCAAACAGGAUUAGAAACCCGGGUAGUCC